AUUAUUCAAAAAAAUGCUGCAUGUGGUAUAUAUAUAUAUAUAGUCACUUCACUUUCACUAUAUACAGGUUCUAAAAGCUUUGAUUAAUAAUUCAAGAAUAUAUCGAGCGUAUCUCAUAGAACACCUUUUUGAUAGAAAUUAGAGAUAAAAUAUUAUUUUUUUAUUUUUUGUUAUUUUUUUAAUGAUAAAAAUAUCGUGUUAAGUUAUUUGAGAAUAAUUUUAUACAUUAGAACUUAAUAAAGACUAAGUAAAUUAUUUAAUCUUUGUAUCAUAACCAAUCGAACGACUAACUUCAAGAUCCAGCAGUAUCACGAGAAAAAAGUAAUAAUUACCGAGGACAAUCGUCACUAAGAAAAAGAUUAUCAUCGACUUUUGGAACGUAUUCCGAAGGAAUCGGUUGCCAUUCCAAUUGAGGAUUCCAUAUUUGAAUACCUUUAGGUGGAAAGAGUCCUGCGAGAACGAGUUGUAACGAUGCUUUCGUUCUAUCGUAAUCCGAACUUCGAGCUUUGACUAUACUUGGUGUGUAUAUCUUACCAAAAUAGUUAUCAUAUCUUUUUCUAAGAAAUUCUCCUAAUUUAAAUUCCCGCACUAUACCAUUCUAAAAAUUACGUAAUCGAUUAUGAUAUAAACGCUUUUGUGAGAGAAAAAUAAAAAUAAUUAACAGUAUAAUCGUUACAAAGUAAUUAAGAAGGAACGAAACUAACAUACAUUUGUUAAUUGUCCUCUACCCAUCGGAUAGAAGUCAUAAUUUAUAUAGGGAUCGUUCGGAUAUCUUUCCAGCUUAUUAUCAUCAGGCGUUCGAUCUCCAUGCCUAAAUAUCUAUUAUGUAUAAGUUAUAUAAAUUUGAAUCAGUUAUAAAUAAAUGAAUAUAUAUGUAUGCGCGUCUGUGUGAUUGAAAUCAGUAAAUUCAAAAAAAAUACAAGAAAUAUUCUUCUUACCACAUUCAAUAAUUUUAAUUCCAAAUUUUGUUCUUCCUCUGCAUACGCGAAUGUUAGACUUAUACAAAUAAGUAAAACAAUCGAAUAUGUAUAUAGGUAUUGAUUUGAGAUCAUUUUGUUAAACUGAAACAAAAAACAAAUCUAUGAUAAUUAUAAUCAAAAAAUUUUUUCGUAUUGUUUGUGACAUGUUAAACAUAAAAAAGGAACAAUUAUUUUCAUUAUGACAAUUGAAGAACAAAAUAAAAAUUACAAUAAUAUGAA
Molecule: long non-coding RNA, 1199 nt
Organism: Vespula vulgaris
Lineage: Eukaryota; Metazoa; Arthropoda; Insecta; Hymenoptera; Vespidae
Exons: 2
Source: RefSeq, a predicted model, not a curated record